GAGGCUAGCCUGAGCUAAAUAGGAUGUACCUGAACAUCUAGGCUCUGUACGUAGCCAGGCUCUUUAUAUAGUCAGACACUGUCUGAAAAAUGCGUAUAAAAAGUAAAAAUAAAACCCAAACAUUUGCUCUCAGAAGAUAGCAAAUUUAAUAAUGUGCAUCAAUUUCAGCAUUAAAAUUAUUGAGGUCAUUUUGCUGUGAAAAUAAUUUCCUAGAAGUUCAAAUAAGUUUCAUAUGGUGAAGACAAGGAUUAGAUUUUAUUUUCCCUAUAUAACAUCAGGCCAGUAAGUAACCUAAACUGGGUCACUGCUGACUGACAGGGAAGUGAAAUCUAUGUUUGAAAUACAGACUCACCAUAAAUCUAAAUUACUGAAACCUAGACAGAUUUUUUUUUGAGACAGAGCUUCUCUGUGUAGCCCUGGCUGUCCUGGAACUCCCGCUGUAGACUAGGCUGGCCUCGAACUCACAGAGAACUGCCUGCCUCCGCCUCCCAAGGGCUGGGAUUAAAGGAACGUGCACCACCACCUUCCAGCACAAUCUUUUCUCCAUUUAUUCAUAUUUUUUCCCUCCUUUUUGCUAUCUUGCUCUUUGGAUGCUCUAUGCAUGGCUAUCUGGCACGUUGGUAGCCCUGAACUUGGGAGGGCCACUGAAGCAGGAAGGUCCAGCACAUCUCUGAAAACAUAUAUGUAUAUGUAUAUAUUUAUUUAUUUAAUUAUCAUGUUUUUAGACAUUACCCCUGGAAUGGAAGUGGCUAUGCCGACCAGGCUGGCCUUGAACUCAUAGAAAUCUACCUGCUUCGGAAGCCACGGCGCUAGGACCAAAGAGGACCUGUUUGUUUCUCAGCACCAUGUGGUCAUUCACAACCAUCUCCAGCUCCAUUUCCGGGGGAUCUGACGCCCUCUUCUGACCUCCGGGGGCACUAGGCAUGCAUGCAGUACACACACCUACAGGCAGAUGAAUGAUCUGAGCUGAUAAAAUCAGUGUAAACCCCACUCUCUGAGCUGCCUUCUGACAUGCCCGAAGCUGAACCCGGAAGAGGAAUCAACUCAAAUUGAACUUUAAAGAUUCUGAGUCAGUGAA
Long non-coding RNA from Peromyscus californicus insignis, 1078 nucleotides. RefSeq lists it as uncharacterized. The record is from RefSeq and is a predicted model, not a curated record. NCBI's taxonomy places the organism in Eukaryota, Metazoa, Chordata, Mammalia, Rodentia, Cricetidae. The transcript is spliced from 3 exons.